UGGACCUACGGAGGCAGCAGUGGGGAAUAUUGCACAAUGGGGGAAACCCUGAUGCAGCGACGCCGCGUGAAGGAAGAAGUAUCUCGGUAUGUAAACUUCUAUCGGCAGGGAAGAAAACGGACGGUACCUGACUAAGAAGCCCCGGCUAACUACGUGCCAGCAGCCGCGGUAAUACGUAGGGGGCGAGCGUUAUCCGGAUUUACUGGGUGUAAAGGGAGCGUAGACGGCAGCGCAAGUCUGGAGUGAAAUGCCGGGGCUCAACCCCGGAACUGCUUUGGAAACUGUGCAGCUAGAGUGCGGGAGAG
Molecule: ribosomal RNA, 305 nt
Filed under: uncultured bacterium
Lineage: Bacteria
Description: bacterial SSU rRNA
Rfam family: Bacterial small subunit ribosomal RNA
Source: RNAcentral